This 3647-nucleotide long non-coding RNA is filed under the name Prunus dulcis (almond). RNAcentral describes it as "sRNA ncRNA". Lineage: Eukaryota; Viridiplantae; Streptophyta; Magnoliopsida; Rosales; Rosaceae. The record is from RNAcentral.
UUCGCAGAGACAAAGCCCUGGCUUCAGUUUGUUUCCAACCAGCUGGUUGGGGGGCAGCCAUGGAAGAACAGUGUUCUGUUCCACAGGCGCUCGCAGCUGCUCUCCAUAGUCGCUGGCUGUUUCUUUUACCAAUUGGCCAACUGGGUUGUUCGCGCUUUCGUCUCCCGCGACCCUCUCUUUGUCAACACCUCUGUUUCUCUACUCCACUCCACCAUAACCUCCUCUUCAGGUUUGUUUUCUUUUCAAGCUGUUCUUUUUUCUUGGGAAUUUUUUUUGGGGUUUUUUGAGCAUGUUUCAUGGUCUUUUUCUAUGCAUAGAAUUUAGUGAUAGGUUUAACAAAAAUGGAAUCUGAAACCGUCGCCGACGCCAAGUUCCAGAGCAAAAAAAAAAAAGGUUUAUAUGAUUAGUGAAUCAGUGAAAGAAAUUAAGUAAAAAUUAGGGGCGAGUACAAUUCGGUUUGGCCGACUAAAUUGUAGUCACACUUUCGGUUCAGAUUGGUUCCCUUGAACUUGCGUGAUGUUAACAGAGCCAAAUCACACCCUUUUUGGUCCAUUCGUCAGAUUUGUCCAUUUCAUGUUUUGCUCGGAGUGUAGAGGCAGGGGUUUGGCUGGAGAGGUGAGAUUUGCUCAGAUAUGGAGUGAAAGACACUCUAUUUUGAGGAGUGAGAUCAGUUCUUAGAUCUACGAUGACGAUGAAAGAGUUGAGAUAUAGAUGAGAGACAUGAGAGAGGGUGCCAUUUGCACUAAGGUUAGGAGAAAAAUAUGAUUGUAUAUAAGGGGAUACUAAUACUACUGUAAUGUUUUUUUUUAAAAAAUGGGUAGGGACUGGUUCUGUUCUGUUUUCUCAAGUUUGAUUUUGAUUAAUUUUGUAAUUAGUAUUAAUUUGUUGAUGUUUAUCUCUAAGCAUUCGAAUUUGAAUUGGAUCGAUCUACAGCUGAUAGUAAAAAGAGAUGUACAUUGUAUUGUGUGCAUUUAUGUGGUGAUCUUCAAGGAUUUUGAAAUUUAUGCUUUUCUUUUUUUUUGAAAUUUUGUUGUGCAGUCGUUAGCUGAAUCUGAGAAACAACAUUGGCUCCAAAGAGAGGAAAGCGUGGAUAUGGCAAACACACAAGAUAAUUUCUCUCCAAUUGUAUCACACACCUUUGUUUUUGUUGUCAGUUUUGAUAUGCAAAUGCAUCCCCAGCAGUGCACAAAAUAAUCAUAAUUUUACAGGCUACCUUAGAAGAAACAAUCAAACAAUUACAAAAGGAGACGGACUUGCACAUACAGAAAGAGGUAAUAUAAUGUGAAUUUCAACUGUGAGAAUAGUGGAACAAAGAUUAGGGCAUGUUUAUUGUAUUUGGCUGGGUUUCAAAUUUUUUUAUGGCAUUUAAUUUUUUUUGAGGCUACCUUAGAGGAUGCUAUUAAGCAGUUACGAAAUGAAAAUGAUUCACAUAUACAGAAAGAGGUACUAUAUCUUGAUCUGAAUUUAUGAAGUUGUACUUAGAAAGAGCCAAUGACCUUUUUUCUUAUCUGGUAUGCUUUUUCUACCUUUCCUAUUGAUUUUGUAUAUUUCUUCUUCAGGCUAUCAUAGAAGAUUUCAUAAAACAAUGUAAAUUAGGUGGGAGUUUGAUUUGAUUAGCUGAAAACAGAUGUGCUCUUUAGACUUUAGAGUUGUGCAGGAAAGCUACUGGUUGCUAAUUUUGUUUAGUCUUUUUUCUCAAGUUAUAAUAAAUAUCUUAACCAGUUUUUGGGUGUUUACUGAAGUUCAUGAUUGGUAAUUGAUAUUAAGUUCUGCUCAUAUCAGUUUAUGCUUUGUGUGUGUGUGUGUGUGUUGAGGAAAAGUUGGAAGCAUGAAAGCUACAUACAACAUGUGAUUUGCAAAUUAUUCUUAUUCAUUUUCUCAAUUAGUCUCAUGCAAUAAAAGGUAAAGUCAAAUUGUUGUUGAAUCCCUGUUUUGAUUGGUCAUUGCAGAACAGUUUGUGGGUAUGGAAGUACUCUCAUACAGUUCUGCACCAUGCUAUGAUACUUUUAAUUUAAGGUGGAAAUUGAUUGUGAAAAGCUCAAGUUCACAUCAAUUCAGUCUCCUAGGUUUUAGAAAAAAACAGAGUUUUUGGUGCUAAAUUUGAUGUUAGAAAGAAGUUUUUGAGCUGUUACAAUUUAGAUCAGCCUUUCUUGAAGCAACUAAAUCACCAAGGAGGUUUUAGGUCAUUAGACACCGGUGAAAACUUCAAACAUGUUGGUCCAAUUUUAUCAAGUGGAAGCUCUGAUGGCUACGUAAUUAAAGGGGAAAAGAAUGAAAGUAUUUCGGAAACAGGGAACCAGUAACUAAAGUUUUGAUUCCUGGUCUACCAGAUGAAUCCAAAGGUGAAUCAGGUGCGCCAGUAAAUAGUUGCUUUUGGGAAUGGAAGCCCGAAUUCAGUGUGCAUUAUGAGAAAGCUGGAUGUGAAACCUUAGGCUCCCUUCCAGUGCUGUUUCUGCCUGGUUUUGGGGUUGGUUCCUUUCACUAUGAGAAGCAACUGAAGGAGUUGGGGCUUGAUUUUAGAGUACGGGCUAAGCAGCUGAAUGGAUGGUGUGUAUAUCUAUAUUUGGAUGGUAUGUACUUGGAUUCAUUGAAACAAUUGAGAUUGAGUGCUUAUAUCUUAGCAGCUGACUUUGAGCCUUAAAAUUUUCAGAUAUUUAUGAUGACCCAUUCUUGGGCCCAUUGCAAUAAUUGAGAUUUGAGUGCUUAGGUCUAAGCAGCUGAAUUUGAGUCAUUAAUUUUUCAGAUGUGUAUGAUUUUGAUUGUUCCGUCAGGUUUCUUUAUUAGUUAUUUUCCCCUAAUCACAAUUGUUUCACUUCCAGAAACUAAUGGCAUCAUUCGUUCAUUUUGCAAGAUUGGUGUAUACUAUGGUACUCCACAAGCGACAUUUGGAGGAAUUGCAUUAAAAUUCUUUGCCUCAGUUCGGCUUGAAAUAUGUUCUACAGGGAAGAUAAAGUCUGUAAGAACAAUAGCCAUUGUUUCUUAUUGCAUGACAGCUUUUUGAUGGAUGAGUAUAUUUAUCUCUUAGGUCAUCUAAUAAAGUUUGAUCUAUGUUGUUUGCUCAUAGAACGUACUUCUGUACUGAUUAGGUAAAUGGAGAGGAAGUAAUUGGAGUUCGGGUUCAUGUAAGAGUGCAAAAGAGCAAGGUAAUUUUGAAUGCAUCAAAAUGGAUUCUGUAUCUAUGAGGGUUGUACACCAUGUACAGAAAUAACAUUUCUAUUACUUUUGCCUUUAUGAUUACUUGAGCAGUAAUUGCACUUUCAAUAUAAAUUUCAUAACUGGUAUGAAGUAUGACAAGUUGUCUUGCCAAUUCUUAAAGGUUAUGUCUAAUUUCUCAAAGAUUUUUGUCCCAAUUCUACACUUUGCUAUAAGUGCAGCCUGUGACCAUGAAAACAAUUGUAACAAUUGACAAAUUGUUAAAUUCCCCUUUUGAUUUUUCUGAUAUUAUGAAACUGCUUCCAUCCUUUUUGAAGGCUAAUGAUUUUGUUAUGAUAUUUGCUUAUGCUUUUGGAAGAGAGACUUUUGUCGAUUGCAAUCUCCUGAUUCCCAGAUUUUGCCAAACCUUUAGUAAAACUUAAUGAUUGCAGUUAAUUAUAUCUCUUAUUUAAUGUGUUUCAUCCACUUUGUUAUGUUUCUAUUUUGAAAGAUGC